UGUUGGAGCCAUAUCACCCUGCAGCCCAAGACUGGUUGCCCACUGAUGCUAAGCAGGGCUGAGCCUGGUCAGUACCUGGAUGGGAGACCUCCUGGGAAAAUUUGAUUGCUGCUGGAA
Ribosomal RNA from Sinocyclocheilus grahami, 117 nucleotides. The record is from Ensembl. NCBI's taxonomy places the organism in Eukaryota, Metazoa, Chordata, Actinopteri, Cypriniformes, Cyprinidae.